GGCACUGUGGCAGAGUGGUCUAAUGCGAUAGACUUGAAUUUUCCUUCAUGAUAUCUAUUCUCUUCGGAGGCGUCCGUUCAAACCGGGCCAGUGUCG
This is a non-coding RNA of Diaporthe ampelina, 96 nucleotides long. The record is from Rfam. NCBI's taxonomy places the organism in Eukaryota, Fungi, Ascomycota, Sordariomycetes, Diaporthales, Diaporthaceae.